Long non-coding RNA from Lycium barbarum (goji berry), 3294 nucleotides. RefSeq lists it as uncharacterized. The record is from RefSeq and is a predicted model, not a curated record. Lineage: Eukaryota; Viridiplantae; Streptophyta; Magnoliopsida; Solanales; Solanaceae. The transcript has 5 exons.
UUAAAAUUUAUCCAUAUUUAAGUUAAUUGAGAUCAGGAAAUUAAUUAUACGUGUAAUUGAUUAAAUGGAGAUUUGUAUUGGAAACGAGAAAUUUAUGAAAAUUAUGGGAUAAAUAUUAAGUGGACAUAAUCCAAGUAGGUACGGAUAGGUGGCAGCAAUAUCAUUAAUACAUGAGCACACGUCCACGUGGUGUCUUGCCAAGGAAUGGAACAGAUGACUAAUGUCCUAUAUAUUGAUAUAUGUGUUGAAGUACAACUUGGAUAAUUUCCUAAUAUAAUAAAAUAUUGGAGAAGAGUUGGAACCCACGGCUAAUGAAAUAUGAAAUGGUUUGGAUUGUAUUCUUUUUUUAUUUCUCUAAUUCAAAGCUUGUAGGAACAAUAGGUGUGACCCUUUCUUUUAGCUGAAUAUUAACCCUCAAAUACAAGUAUGGCAGCAACGUUUUUUUUUUCCUCUAAAAGAAAACACAGUAGUAACGUUAUUUUCCAAAGCAUGGCAGCAAGUUGCCUUUCCAAAAGAGAAUAACAAUGUUUCCAGUUACGUUGGGGAGAUCGAAGGUUGCUUCGUAGUGAAAUAAAGCGGAAGAAGAAAUUGCGAAAUUGGAGCAAUUAAGAAUAGAAAUUCCUCCGAGAAAAAUAAGACUAGCGAUAGCGAGCUUGGACAAAUAAGCGUAGCUAAUAGGACGUGGGACAGGUACACCCAGAUAAGUAGAAGAUUUUGCUAAAGGUGUUCCAGCGGGAUUGGCGAGCUCCAUCUCAGUUCGGAGUGUUGCCGGGUCGAAGUACUUAUGUCAUGGUAUUUUGUAUAUGUUAGAGACUUUGCAGACAGUGUCCUGUGGAUAGGGCGUCGAGAGGUGCGAAUCAUUUGUAGAUGUUAAAAAAAAAAUAUGUAUUUUCAGGUGAUCUCAGUUGGUAAAAAGUACGUAAUUGAUUGAAAGUUUUCAUAAUCUGUAUUAAGACAAUGAUCUCUAUUUGGAAAAGUUUCAUGUUUUAAAAGUUUUUGAAAUGACAGGUUUUGGUAAAGCAAACGUUUGAGGGUUCGCUCGACUCUGAUGAGAGUCGGGUGCCCGUCAUGCCCUACCAUUGCUAGGGUGUGACAAAGUGGUAUCAGAGCAGUUCGUUCUAGGGGUUGUCUGCAAAGUCGUGUCAGGUAGAGUCUUGUUCAUGGGUGUGUUGUCGACCACACUUAUGAACAGGAGGCUACAGGGCAUUUAGGAUGGUUACUCUUCUUUCAUAUCUAAGAUCGUGCGAUAGAGCCAAGCCGUAGGAAAUGAGAUUCCUUGUGCUAACCUUUGAUUUUAGCAGGAGAGUGGUGUCAACAAGAGGAGGUAAUGAUCAUACUGGGAGUUACAGAGGAGGUUCUGCCAAAAUUUUGUUAAAAAUUGAUUGUGAUCAGUAUAUAUAUGUGUGCUAUGAUCAGUAAGAUACACAAGUGUAAACUGAAGAAUGAAAGAUUAAUAAUAGUUGUAAAUCAGCUGAAAGGAGGGUUAUGAGAUGGGUUAGGAAUGAGUUUGAGAGUUAGGUUGAAAUUACUCUAGGAUAUAGGAGUGAGUCGAGGGUUAAGAUAAGUUCUCUCGGGGAUUAGAAGUAUGGUUGAUGAAUUAAGAUUAAUAUGAUUCGAAUAAUGUGAUAAGAUUACGAGAAGAGACAUAAGAGGGGAAGCAAUGACAAGCAAGGAGUCAUUCGAGAGAUGAGUUAGUAUAAAAAAAAAAGUAAGCGUUAACGAGUAAAAAAAAAAUGAUGAUGAAACAAGGAAAAGAAAGAAACAUGAUUAUAUGUGUUUGAGGAAAGGGAGUAACGUGAUAUUAGUAAGUGUUGGAAUUGGAUACGAGUAUUAGUCUUCAUUUAACAUUCGAGGACGAAUGUUUCUAAGAGGGGAAGGAUGUUACAUCCCGUACUCUCAUGCGUUGGAAAAUGUGCGGUUAAAUGAUAUUAGUAAUGGACACGAGAUUAUCCCCUAAGCUUAUAGGUGGUUAAAGUGAUGGUACACACGUAUCGUAAGGAUUUGAAGUUAGACCAAUCGAAGAAAAAUAAGUUUUGUCAAGUUUCAACAUUUAUUUGAAUGAAAUGCGGUCCGAGCAAUAAUACCCCAUAUUUUGGACCGUGAAACUAAGCCAUCCAACAUGAGAAAAUUUACCCGAGCCCGGGGAAUUCGAUCAUAUCCAAGGAUGAAAAUUAAGAGCCCGGUGUAUACAAGGAAUGAAGUCCCAAAAUUAUUUAAGACGACGAAAUAUGACGACGAUGAUCGAAAAUAAUAUUUUAUGUAUGGCAAAUAAGGCUAUAGACUAGUGCUAUAUUAGAUGAGCAUGAUAAUUAGUAUAUGUAGUGUAUUAAAAUUUAUCCAUAUUUAAGUUAAUUGAGAUCAGGAAAUUAAUUAUACGUGUAAUUGAUUAAAUGGAGAUUUGUAUUGGAAACGAGAAAUUUAUGAAAAUUAUGGGAUAAAUAUUAAGUGGACAUAAUCCAAGUAGGUACGGAUAGGUGGCAGCAAUAUCAUUAAUACAUGAGCACACGUCCACGUGGUGUCUUGCCAAGGAAUGGAACAGAUGACUAAUGUCCUAUAUAUUGAUAUAUGUGUUGAAGUACAACUUGGAUAAUUUCCUAAUAUAAUAAAAUAUUGGAGAAGAGUUGGAACCCACGGCUAAUGAAAUAUGAAAUGGUUUGGAUUGUAUUCUUUUUUUAUUUCUCUAAUUCAAAGCUUGUAGGAACAAUAGGUGUGACCCUUUCUUUUAGCUGAAUAUUAACCCUCAAAUACAAGUAUGGCAGCAACGUUUUUUUUUUCCUCUAAAAGAAAACACAGUAGUAACUUUAUUUUCCAAAGCAUGGCAGCAAGUUGCCUUUCCAAAAGAGAAUAACAAUGUUUCCAGUUACGUUGGGGAGAUCGAAGGUUGCUUCGUAGUGAAAUAAAGCGGAAGAAGAAAUUGCGAAAUUGGAGCAAUUAAGAAUAGAAAUUCCUCCGAGAAAAAUAAGACUAGCGAUAGCGAGCUUGGACAAAUAAGCGUAGCUAAUAGGACGUGGGACAGGUACACCCAGAUAAGUAGAAGAUUUUGCUAAAGGUGUUCCAGCGGGAUUGGCGAGCUCCAUCUCAGUUCGGAGUGUUGCCGGGUCGAAGUACUUAUGUCAUGGUAUUUUGUAUAUGUUAGAGACUUUGCAGACAGUGUCCUGUGGAUAGGGCGUCGAGAGGUGCGAAUCAUUUGUAGAUGUUAAAAAAAAAAGUAUGUAUUUUCAGGUGAUCUCAGUUGGUAAAAAGUAUGUAAUUGAUUGAAAGUUUUCAUAAUCUGUAUUAAGACAAUGAUCUCUA